AAUUUAAGCAUAUCACUAAGCGGAGGAAAAGAAACUAACAAGGAUUCCCCUAGUAGCGGCGAGCGAAGAGGGAAAAGCCCAGCACCGAACCUCGCACCUUCGGGUGUCGCGGAAUGUGGUGUUUAGGAGGACCGUGCGCGUCUGUCCGGUAUCGUCCAAGUCUCCAUGAAUGGGGCCAGCAACCCAGAGAGGGUGUCAGGCCCGUGGGACGAGCCGCGACCGUGUAUUGGGUCUCUCCUUAGAGUCGGGUUGCUUGAGAGUGCAGCCCUAAGCGGGAGGUAAACUCCUUCUAAGGCUAAAUAUGGCCACGAGACCGAUAGCAAACAAGUACCGCGAGGGAAAGUUGAAAAGAACUUUGAAGAGAGAGUUCAAGAGUGCGUGAAACCGUUCAGGGGGUUAAACGGGUGGGCCCUCGAAGGUCGAACGGUCCCCACUCCCGUCUUCUGUAGGCCGGUCCGCGCUGCUUUUCGAUUCCUUACGGAACGAGGCUGGCGCGGUUCGCCGGUUUACGGGGGCCGCUAGCUGGGGGCCCAGUAGGACUCCGCAACCGGCUGGGUUAUGGCCGUCAGAAGGGUUCUGGAGGAAGCCUCCUCGCGAGGUGGAUUCCGGGAUUCCGGGCGGUCCUCUCGGCCGUGAACCCAAAUUUCUCCCUUCACGGGGAGAAUGCGCGGAGAGUAGAGUCGGGUCCCACCCGACCCGUCUUGAAACACGGACCAAGGAGUCUAACAUGUGCGCGAGUCGUCGGGUAUUACUAAACCCGAAGGCGCAAUGAAAGUAAAAACCGCCCUCGUUGGCGGCCGAGGGGAGAUCCCGUUCUGCUCCGGUAGCUCGGGCGCAUCCCCGGGGCGUCGAAGCCGCGUUGCCGGCUAGACGAACCAAGAGCGUACACGUUGGGACCCGAAAGAUGGUGACCUAUGCCUGGCCAGGACGAAGCCAGGGGAAACCCUGGUGGAGGUCCGCAGCGAUUCUGACGUGCAAAUCGAUCGUCUGAGUUGGGUAUAGGGGCGAAAGACUAAUCGAACCAUCUAGUAGCUGGUUCCCCCCGAAGUUCCCU
RNAcentral lists this ribosomal RNA (1054 nucleotides) under Limnadiidae lineage AU sp. 1. RNAcentral describes it as "eukaryotic LSU rRNA". It matches the Rfam family "Eukaryotic large subunit ribosomal RNA", at positions 31 to 972 of the family's 3401-position model. The record is from RNAcentral. Lineage: Eukaryota; Metazoa; Arthropoda; Branchiopoda; Diplostraca; Limnadiidae.